GAUUGUGAUGAUGAAAACAACCACACUAUCGGCUAGACUACGGUCCAUGUUGUCGAACUGUUAACCAUCUUUCGGGACUGAUACAAUC
Molecule: small nucleolar RNA, 88 nt
Filed under: Plenodomus lingam JN3
Lineage: Eukaryota; Fungi; Ascomycota; Dothideomycetes; Pleosporales; Leptosphaeriaceae
Source: RNAcentral